Molecule: ribosomal RNA, 416 nt
Filed under: uncultured eukaryote
Lineage: Eukaryota
Description: SSU rRNA
Rfam family: Eukaryotic small subunit ribosomal RNA
Source: RNAcentral
CCAGCAGCUGCGGUAAUUCCAGCUCCAAUAGCGUAUAUUUAAGUUGCUGCAGUUAAAAAGCUCGUAGUUGGAUUUCGGGUGGGUGGCGGCGGUCCGCCUCUGGUGAGUACUGCCGGCGCCCACCUUACUGUCGGGGACGCGCUCCUGGGCUUCACUGUCCGGGACGCGGAGUCGACGCGGUUACUUUGAGUAAAUUAGAGUGUUCAAAGCAGGCCUACGCUCUGAAUACAUUAGCAUGGAAUAACACGAUAGGACUCUGGCCUAUCUUGUUGGUCUGUAGGACCGGAGUAAUGAUUAACAGGGACAGUCGGGGGCAUUCGUAUGACAUUGUCAGAGGUGAAAUUCUUGGAUUUAUGUCAGACGAACAUCUGCGAAAGCAUUUGCCAAGGAGGUUUUCAUUGAUCAAGAACGAAAGU